Molecule: ribosomal RNA, 497 nt
Filed under: uncultured bacterium
Lineage: Bacteria
Description: partial 16S ribosomal RNA
Rfam family: Bacterial small subunit ribosomal RNA
Source: RNAcentral
GAUGAACGCUGGCGGCGUGCCUAAUACAUGCCAGUCGAGCGAACAGACGAGGAGCUUGCUCCUUUGACGUUAGCGGCGGACGGGUGAGUAACACGUGGGUAACCUACCUAUAAGACUGGGAUAACUUCGGGAAACCGGAGCUAAUACCGGAUAAUAUUUUGAACCGCAUGGUUCGAUAGUGAAAGAUGGCUUUGCUAUCACUUAUAGAUGGAUCUGCGCCGUAUUAGCUAGUUGGUAAGGUAACGGCUUACCAAGGCAACGAUGCGUAGCCGACCUGAGAGGGUGAUCGGCCACACUGGAACUGAGACACGGUCCAGACUCCUACGGGAGGCAGCAGUAGGGAAUCUUCCGCAAUGGGCGAAAGCCUGACGGAGCAACGCCGCGUGAGUGAUGAAGGUCUUCGGAUCGUAAAACUCUGUUAUUAGGGAAGAACAAACGUGUAAGUAACUGUGCACGUCUUGACGGUACCUAAUCAGAAAGCCACGGCUAACUACGUG